This 776-nucleotide ribosomal RNA is filed under the name uncultured Neocallimastigales. Its description in RNAcentral is "partial large subunit ribosomal RNA". It matches the Rfam family "Eukaryotic large subunit ribosomal RNA", at positions 23 to 644 of the family's 3401-position model. The record is from RNAcentral. Lineage: Eukaryota; Fungi; Neocallimastigomycota; Neocallimastigomycetes; Neocallimastigales.
AGAGAGAGACAUGCGCGCAUAUCAAUAAGCGGAGGAAAAGAAACUAACAAGGAUUCCCUUAGUAACGGCGAGUGAAGCGGGAAGAGCUCAAAUUUGAAAUCUUCAAGGUUCUACCUUGACGAAUUGUAGUUUAUAGAAGCGUUUUCUGUUAGUGGAGUGGCAAAAGUUCUUUGGAAUAGGACAUCAUAGAGGGUGAGAAUCCCGUAUUUGGUCAUUCCUCCUAGCGUUGUGAUACACUUUCAACGAGUCGGAUUGUUUGGGAAUGCAGUCCAAAAUGGGUGGUAAAUUUCAUCUAAAGCUAAAUAUUGGCGAGAGACCGAUAGCGAACAAGUACCGUGAGGGAAAGAUGAAAAGAACUUUGAAAAGAGAGUUAAACAGUACGUGAAAUUGUCAAAAGGGAAGCGUUUGACACCAGUGUUGUUUUUCCGAAAAUCAAUUACGAAUGUUUUAGUUUUUGAGGAGUUAUGACUUCAUCGGCUUGCUCCUUUCUUUAUGAAACUUUCUUAAUGCACUUUUCGGUUAACAAGUCAACAUCAAUUUCUUUUGUUGUAAAAGGGUAUGAGGAAGGUGGCUUUCUUUUCGGAGAAAGUGUUUAUAGCCUUGUGCCUCUGCAAUCGGAGAGAUUGAGGUCUGCAGCGUAGAUCCUUCGGGGUUAGAUACGUUUGUGCUAAGUUAUAGCUUUUCAUAGACAACUUGUUGACUAUGUUUAGUCUUGUAGCUUACUCGCUUACUGCUAUUUUACCUACGCUUAGGAUGUUGAUAGUCACAGCGUGUAC